This 82-nucleotide transfer RNA is filed under the name Calditrichota bacterium. Its description in RNAcentral is "Calditrichaeota bacterium tRNA-Leu". It matches the Rfam family "tRNA". Rfam says of the family: Transfer RNA (tRNA) molecules are approximately 80 nucleotides in length. Their secondary structure includes four short double-helical elements and three loops (D, anti-codon, and T loops). Further hydrogen bonds mediate the characteristic L-shaped molecular structure. tRNAs have two regions of fundamental functional importance: the anti-codon, which is responsible for specific mRNA codon recognition, and the 3' end, to which the tRNAs corresponding amino acid is attached (by aminoacyl-tRNA synthetases). tRNAs cope with the degeneracy of the genetic code in two manners: having more than one tRNA (with a specific anti-codon) for a particular amino acid; and 'wobble' base-pairing, i.e. permitting non-standard base-pairing at the 3rd anti-codon position. Lineage: Bacteria; Pseudomonadati; Calditrichota. The record is from RNAcentral.
GCGAGAGUGGCGAAAUUGGCAUACGCGCUAGAUUUAGGAUCUAGUGCCUCCGGGCUUGGGGGUUCGAGUCCCCCCUCUCGCA